RNA transcript from Oncorhynchus nerka (sockeye salmon), 1406 nucleotides. It is a transcript of the gene named coagulation factor XIII B chain-like, with no coding region annotated. NCBI's taxonomy places the organism in Eukaryota, Metazoa, Chordata, Actinopteri, Salmoniformes, Salmonidae. The record is from RefSeq and is a predicted model, not a curated record. The transcript is spliced from 6 exons.
CUCAGACUCAGACUCCAGUUAAUUCAUUUCUCAGUGUACAUGUAACACCAGAGGACAGAGAAUGAAGGAAAUACCACUGUCUGUCAUUAUUGUACUACACAUCUGGUCCUACGGUGUUAAAGCUCAAGAAUCUGGAAAAGUCUGUGAAAGACCCCAACUGGACAAUGGCUUUGUUGACCCGGAGCAGAACAUGUACCAGGAUGGCAUGACUUUGACUUAUGCCUGUGAUAAAGGUCUGAAAACACCAAUGGAAGGCUGGUGGGGGAUGAUUACAUGUGAGAAUGGUAGAUGGUCUGAUACUCCUCUGUGUACGGCCAGUCAUUCUUGUGAUGCACCUCCUCAAGUGAACCAUGCAACCGUUGUUCAACAAUAUCAAAACAACUUUAGUAAUGGAUCAAAAGUGGUUUAUAAAUGCAAAAGAUCCUACAUAAUGGAAGGGAAUGCAGAUGUAGUCUGCCUUUUAGGAGAAUGGACCUCCGCCCCCACAUGCAGUCAUGAAGCCUUACGGAAGUGUAGGGACAACGAGUUUCAGUGCAGUAACAGAAGGUGUAUACCGACCAUCUGGAGGUGCGACAAAGAUGACGACUGCUCAGACAACAGCGAUGAGGAAAACUGUGAAUAUGAACUACCAUGUCAUCCCAUUCAGGUUAUGAAAAUGUAGAUCCAUAAUGGGUUGUUCAUGAUGAAGAUGUGACUUACCGAAAGACCCGAGGAUGGAUAAUACCUUGUCCAGUUGUUCACAUAUUACAACAUAUGUGUAUUUUCUUAACAGGGCUAGGAACAGCAAAUCACCCGAAGAGAGGAAAAGAAAAAUAGAUUGUUUAGGAUAAAACUGAUAAAUGUAGCUUUUACAUUUGGGUCAUGAUAUAGAAAAUGAUUUACAGCACAAGGGCUUCAAAAUUCAAGAGGCACUCGCACAUCUAAGCAGUCUUUUUUUGCAGGUGCAUGGUAACAGUUGAACAAGAUGAAGGAAAAAGGAAACCGCACACUGCUCUUGAUAGUAUCACUGAUCUUUAAUGAGCUUACGUAUCGGCCUCACGGCCUUCGUCAGGGCUUUUAGCACAAGGGGUUAAAAUGGAGGGGAGCAGAGUAGGGUUCCAUCAUGACCGAUCUCCAUCAUCUUAGGACUGGAUAGAGCCUCCUGGGUGACGCAGUGGUCUAAGGCUGUGCCAGUAGAUAUCCUGGUUCGAGUCCAGGCUCUGUCGCAGCCGCCCAGCCGGCAGGGAUGUUCUUGUCCCGUUGUGCUCGAAUGACUCCUGUGGUGGGAUGAGUGCAAUGCAUGCUGACAUGAUCACUAGGUGUGCAAUAGUAAAGAACUGCUCAUGACUGGAUUACAUUUGGAAACAACAAUCUGAAACUGUCAAUAAAUGAAUGUGUAUGUGGGACACUGAUCCUUCUGUAUCUUA